Molecule: ribosomal RNA, 587 nt
Filed under: Sporosarcina sp.
Lineage: Bacteria; Bacillati; Bacillota; Bacilli; Caryophanales; Caryophanaceae
Description: bacterial SSU rRNA
Rfam family: Bacterial small subunit ribosomal RNA
Source: RNAcentral
CGAGCGGAUCAUGGGAGCUUGCUCCCGGCGAUCAGCGGCGGACGGGUGAGUAACACGUGGGCAACCUGCCCUGCAGAUGGGGAUAACUCCGGGAAACCGGGGCUAAUACCGAAUAAUCAGUUCCUCCGCAUGGAGGAACUCUGAAAGGCGGCUUCGGCUGUCACUGCAGGAUGGGCCCGCGGCGCAUUAGCUAGUUGGUGGGGUAAUGGCCUACCAAGGCGACGAUGCGUAGCCGACCUGAGAGGGUGAUCGGCCACACUGGGACUGAGACACGGCCCAGACUCCUACGGGAGGCAGCAGUAGGGAAUCUUCCACAAUGGACGAAAGUCUGAUGGAGCAAUGCCGCGUGAGUGAAGAAGGUUUUCGGAUCGUAAAGCUCUGUUGCGAGGGAAGAACACGUACGGGAGUAACUGCCCGUACCUUGACGGUACCUCGUCAGAAAGCCACGGCUAACUACGUGCCAGCAGCCGCGGUAAUACGUAGGUGGCAAGCGUUGUCCGGAAUUAUUGGGCGUAAAGCGCGCGCAGGCGGUCCUUUAAGUCUGAUGUGAAAGCCCACGGCUCAACCCGUGGAGGGUCAUUGGAAAC